Molecule: long non-coding RNA, 2415 nt
Organism: Zalophus californianus (California sea lion)
Lineage: Eukaryota; Metazoa; Chordata; Mammalia; Carnivora; Otariidae
Exons: 3
Source: RefSeq, a predicted model, not a curated record
GAAUCAAAUUAGAAUUUUCAAAUCUAGUAUCAAAAAAAGAAUAUGUUCAUUUCAAUUAAAGUAAGUUCUGGACUUAAGUCAACUUCUACUGUUUUAAAAGGCUGAUUUUAGUUAUUAAUAUUCUAUUUUAAUAUCUGAACACAAGUUUCAGGAUGACUAAUCCAUUUUCAUAAAUAUGGUAAAGGAUUUAGUCAGACAAAUGUUUUUAUUAGCAGGUAUAAUAAAGAAAAGGACACACAAUAGGACUUUGUGUUCUAAAUUCAGAAUUACGAGUGGUCUGUGAAAAAAAACUGGGAAAAACUACAGGGGAGGAGGCUACCUUUAGGACCAGUAAGCCCGCACUGUUUCUCAACACCAUGGACUCUAGCCCUCUGCCCUUUCUUCCACGAAAAGCCAUGCUCUGGGCUUUCUUAUAACUCCUUGCAGCCCUCAUGAUGUGAAAGAAAUCUUUUUAAAAUGUACAUCUAACUGUUCUUACAAUGUAUGGAAUCUAUGGAUUAGCAAUUAUGAUCCUCAGAAUAACGCUUUCGUAUUCCGUACUGAAGCAGAAACUGCAAGGGAAGGUCGGCUAAUUAACAGGCAUUUAGCAGACCUUAUGGAAAAAUUGAUUUGGUGUUACUUGUAAAAAAAUAAAUAGCUAGAUAAAUAGAUCACUAGAUAAAUACAUAAAGAACCAACCAAAACAUGCUGUUGAUGUUCUUAGAGGGAAAUGAUUAUGCAAAUAAACACAUUCAAUUUUUUAAAGAUAAAAUGCAGAGAUAGUAAUUUGAAAUAACUUCCAUGGGAGUAGACGCUUUGAUCCCUUGAGAAGCUGGACAAUCUUAUGACAUGUAUUCUCCCCAGAAGUGUGAGCUACGUGCCUUGGGUGAUGUCACCAGUGACUAGUAACCAUUGCAGUGUAAACAAACAUCAGCAGGAAAUAAAUGUGGGUAGGGCAAGGGUCUAGAAACAUGCCUUCCUUCUAGAAAAGUAUCGUGCCUUCCAAUGCCAGUGGUUUGGUUUUUUUGUUUGUUUGUUUGUUUUUUUAACGGAAGAGAGGGGAUGGAGUUUAGCUCUUGCCUUCUGUCACGGAAACCUUUAGUUUCAUAGGCAGUGUCUUUCCUUGACAAAUGGAUUUCCCCCUUGGCAGUCUCUGCAACACUGAGAGGUAAGGGACUCUUUGCUGUUGCUGCAGUUAUUGGUUGCUCUCCCCAGACAAGCUUGUCUGUGGAUUUGCUAAGAGCAGAGUUUCGAGUUACCAGAAUUAGGCAAGCCCGCUGAGAAGCAGAAGGAGGAGGAGGAGCGGCGGCAGGAGCCGGAGCCCGAGCCAAAGCGCCCUGAAGCGCUACGGCAGCAGCUCCGCUGAUUGGCUGGAGGGUCCGGCCGCUUCCCGGGAACAAAAGGUCAAAGUGGACUGCAGCGUCAAUGUAGGGAGGCAGCCGAGAAGAGAGCGUUGCUUGAAGAAGUCUGGCGGCCGGAGCCGCAGCACGCGGGCUAACUGCAGGGUCAGCUGCCGCUCCAGCUGUGAGGCUCAGCCUCACGCCCCGAGCCCAGCACCGCCAACGCCGCCGCCGCCACCGUGAGGAGACGUUUCCUGCACGGACGGCCAAGGUGGCGUGGACGAGCCAGUUGUGAGGGUCCCUGGCAAAUUCAUCUACAAGGAUGGCCUGUGAAAUCAUGCCUCUGCAAAGAUUUGCCUCAUCUGGACAGUGCAUUAUAACCCUUGGGCAGCUUGUCACAAAGCCAGAUGUGGAAACUGCUUUUACUUCUCACAUAAGUUCCUUGACUGAGCAGAAAGUCCAGGGCUGCCUGGCCCGGGUGCCCCUGCCUGGCACGUCCCUGCCACGUCCACAGGGCUGAGCUCCCUGCGUGCCAACUCCUGCCUUCACACGGUGUCUUCUCUUUGUUAAAGAGUUCCCUGUCCAUUCCCUUCCUCCUAAUAAUGCCUCCAUGACCCUCAAAACCCAUUCCCAGUGUCACUCAUGUCACCUAGCCUGCCAGACUGCGAGGGGCUUGAGCGUGAGGUCUGGAGCUCUGGCUGCCACACACUUGGAUUUGAAUCUCAGCCCUGCCUGCCUCUGUGGCCUCCCACUGGUGAAUUACCCUUUCCAAGACUUGUUUUUCUUAUCUGAGAAAAUCCAGUUAGUGAUACCUCUCUCCAAGGGUGUCUUUGAGGAUCGACUGAGGAAAUGUCUAUGAAGCUCUUAGCCCAAAGCCUUGACUUACUAUGGUGAGCCCUCAACACAUGGUAGCUGUGUAUCCUUUUUUCAUAGUCAUUAUCAUAUUUCAAGUUUCUGUUUCUCCCUGGUCUAUAAAUUCUGUAAGGAUUUAGACCAUAUCUUAUUAGCCUGAGCAGCACCCCUCAUUGGCUCUGAUGCAUAGUAGCCACUCAAAAAAUACUGAAUGAGCCCUUGUAUCUGGCAGAGGAAGGGUUUG